CUGGUUGAUCCUGCCAGUAGUCAUAUGCUUGUCUCANAGACUAAGCCAUGCAUGUCUAAGUAUAAGCAGAUUAUACUGCGAGACUGCGGACGGCUCAUUAAAACAGUCACAAUCUAUUCGAUGAUUUCUUACUACUCGGAUAACCGUAGUAAUUCUACAGCUAAUACGUGCACAAACACCAGGCUCGCUCUGGUGGUAUUUAUUAGAUCAAACGCCAAUAGACUUACGUCUUUCGGUGAAUCAUAGUAACUUCUCGGAUCGGUCUCAGACCGACAAUCGUUCGAAUUUCUGCCCUAUCAGCUUUCGAUGGUAGGAUAGGGAGGCCUACCAUGGCUUUAACGGGUGGCGGAGAAUUAGGGUUCGAUUCCGGAGAGGGAGCCUGAGAAAACGGCUACCACAUCCAAGGAAGGCAGCAGGCGCGCAAAUUUACCCAAUCCCGACUCGGGGAGGUAGUGACAAAGAAAUAACAAUAGCCCGGUU
RNAcentral lists this ribosomal RNA (480 nucleotides) under uncultured eukaryote. Its description in RNAcentral is "bacterial SSU rRNA". It matches the Rfam family "Eukaryotic small subunit ribosomal RNA", at positions 4 to 493 of the family's 1831-position model. The record is from RNAcentral.